Mesocricetus auratus (golden hamster) is the source of this 2715-nucleotide long non-coding RNA. RefSeq lists it as uncharacterized. The record is from RefSeq and is a predicted model, not a curated record. The transcript is spliced from 2 exons. Lineage: Eukaryota; Metazoa; Chordata; Mammalia; Rodentia; Cricetidae.
CCUUCUCUGCCCACGCCCCCGUCCGGCACCCUUCUGGCUUGGAGCCACUUGCAGAUAUUCUGAGGUGACACGCUGCCUCAUGCAAGCCAGAUCCAGUUAGACUUGCUUCUCUGAAGACUGUCUAUUCUUUCCCAAGAAUCGUCUGACAUCUGACUGACAGAGAGAGGAUCAUCAACAGAGACAACUUUUAUUUUGUAGAUACCUUUAAAAAAUUAAGGAUACUUCCCACUCUGACCUGGAAGGCCCCAGGAGGGGACACAGGAUUGAUGUGGAGCUAGGAAGAGGGAGCUUCACAGAUAAAGGAAGGCCCUGCCUCCCAGAACCAGCCCAGAGACUGACAAGACCGCAAUCCCAGCUCAUUACUUCAUAUCUUUCUUCAGCAAGUUACUGAUGAAGUCCUUGGCAUCGUCGGAGAUUUCAUCGAACGCCUCAUCAUCAAAGUCCCAGGUGGCAGAAGUGACAUUGGCUAAGGUCUCAUUAUCAUUGUCACCCAUGAAGGGAGACAGUCCGCUGACCCUGGGGGAGAAGAGCAGAAGAAUAAGUCACUCUGUAAGUGACUCCUAGGAUCCGCCUCAACCACCUGUGAGACUGAAGUGAAAGAUUUGAUUAAUCUACAGACUGCCAAGACAUACAAAGCAGAGCAGAGAAACCCCUUCAUCCUCCUCUUCCAUCCCAAACCUCAGGCCAGCCUUCACCUCUCAUAGGCCUUCCUUGAGUCCCUUCCUCCCACCUAGUCCUUAGUCUCCUUUAUAUACCUCCAGAUGGAGAGGGGGGAGCCAUCUAGGGAUGGCUCAUCAGAUGUGAGCCAAUAAACAUGAGGGCUUUUAAUCAGCAAGGAGGCACAGGCUUGGUGAGGCAUUUACGCUCCCCUGGAAAGCCUGUCCACAAGGCGUGCAGCAGAGGACAGAGUGCAGCGUCUUCAUUGGCUGAGUGACCUUGAGCACUUUCCCCUCCCUCUGCACCACGUUCUCUUCACGCUCUAACUACACGGUCAAGCGCCCUCCUCCUCAGCGGCAGGCACCGAACACACUUUACCACCCGCAGUGUAAAGAUCUGAAAUAGAUGAACUCAUUCAAUCUUAACACCACCCCAGAGCACAGGUAAUCUUCACUUCUUCACUAUAUGGAGAUGGUAAGCGAGGCACUGGCAGAGAAUCCGUUAGGUCAACCUGCCCAAAGAGCCCCAGACAUUGAGAUGUGAGCCCAGGAGGCCGGAUCCUCGGCAUCUCAUAUUUCUAUGCAGACUAAGGAAGCUGCGUGCAUUGCACUUGUGCUUAGGACAGCCGGUAGUUAGGGUUCUUCUGGCGCCGUGUGUAUCUUACAUUUCUUACAGAUAACCUGUACUAUCUCCCAGGAGCCUGAGCCAAACACAGUUUGCAGGGCAGUGUUCUCAGAGUCAAAUAGAACAGACCAUCCUCAUUUGUGACCUCCAUGCACCUCUUCUUCAUGCCAGUAACCCCCUCACCUUGCAUGUCAAACUAAGGGCUGGCUCUGUGGGUGUACGGCCUGCACAGCUGCCUAGAGUCCCACCCUGAGAUGGACCCCAGGCCUAGCAUUAAUGCUGUACUACUACCAUCUUUAAAUUGUUAAUAUGCUUCAACAAAUGGUUCUAUCCCUUCAGUUUGAAAAUGAUAUUCUUAGUCCUUUCUUGACCCUGUCCAAAUCCCAUGAAAUAUAGCCAGGGCCCCCUUAAGUCAGGGUUUUAUGAACAUCCUUUUUCCAAAUCGUUAUUAGUCCAUCAUCAUAAACCGCAACACGCUGACAGCUUCUGGAGCUCUUCAGCAUUCAAAAGGCCUCAGCUUAAGAAAUUUGCUUGUACCUGAACUCUGUGCUUGAACAAUACCCACUGGAAACACUGGGAGAAGACUGGCCACGGGAGGAGCCCUCUGCUGAAUGCAAGGACAAAGAAUUUAGAGUUGGUGAGUGUGUAUUUUCCCACUCUAGUUAACAAACUUGUGUUUUUGAGUAUUAACACACCAUCGUGCGUGGCUUUUCUUAAGGCAAGAUGCUGACUUAAGUCCAUGAGGGCAAUCUGAACCCUUUUUGGUCACGUACCCAUGAGGGCCUGGUAGAAAGCUACCAGUCUUUGAAUUUGCACUGAUACAUGCUACUCCAUCUUGACCCCAUAGUGACUGGGCUGGGUUUCCGAGGGACCUUUCAGUUCCCUGACCUCUGUGAUGUGUGUGGCCUAAGCAAGCUCCACCAAGAUGCAGCCUGUCUUUGCUUGUGGGCACCUGCUUCUUCUCACCUUUACAUUUUUUAUUUGAAGCAAGAAAGGGAUAAGUCCUGCAGUGCUCCAACGGACAGCAAGAAAAGCAAACAGUCACGCUGAGGAAUGCCAAAAGGGCCCCUUCUGCACGUCUCCUUUCCUAAUUAGGACUUGGAAUCCUGCAUGAUAGGUCUUAAUCACUGUCCACGUUGAAGGCACGGGGAGCCCCAGCCUCUGGCCUUGGCACUGCUCCUUCCUGGCAGCACACCCAUCUGAAACACUCUGUUCCGCCCGGUUCUCUGCUUGCCCGGGUUCCUCUUGAAUUAGAAACUUACAAUAUUGGUACACAUAGCAUGAUGGCCAAGGUAGAGUUUGGAUAUUUUAGUAAUGCUUGUGUUUCUGUUAUAUUUCUGCUUCAGUGUGUAGUAUGGUGCAGGCUGGCCUAGGAUUCAUGAUCCUCCUGCUUCUGCUUCCCAGGUGCUGGGAUUAAAGGUGUGCACAACCAUG